UACGGGAAGCAGCAGUGGGGAAUUUGGACAAUGGGGGGAAACCCUGAUCAGCCAUCCCGCGUGUGCGAUGAAGGCCUUCGGGUUGUAAAGCACUUUUGGCAGGAAAGAAACGGCGCAGGAUAAUACCCGAUGCAACUGACAAUACCUACAGAAUAAGCACCGGCUAACUACGUGCCAGCAGCCGCGGUAAUGCGUAAGUGCAAGCGUUAAUCGGAAUUACUGGGCGUAAAGCGUGCGCAGGUUCGGAAAGAAAGAUGUGAAAUCCCAGAGCUUAACUUUGGAACUGCAUUUUUAACUACCGAGCUAGAGUGUGUCAGAGGGAGGUGGAAUUCCGCGUGUAGCAGUGAAAUGCGUAGAUAUGCGGAGGGAACACCGAUAGCGAAAACAGCCUCCUGGGAUAACACUGACGCUCAUGCACGAAAGCAUUGGGAGCAAACAACAGGAUUGAAUACCCGUGUAGU
Molecule: unclassified non-coding RNA, 461 nt
Filed under: uncultured Bordetella sp.
Lineage: Bacteria; Pseudomonadati; Pseudomonadota; Betaproteobacteria; Burkholderiales; Alcaligenaceae
Description: partial 16S-23S ribosomal RNA intergenic spacer
Rfam family: Bacterial small subunit ribosomal RNA
Source: RNAcentral